GAGUUUGAUCCUGGCUCAGGAUGAACGCUAGCGGCGCGCUUAACACAUGCAAGUCGUGCGAUCGGACCGGACCAACGUCCUUCGGGACAGCGGACCGGUUACGGAGCGGCGGACGGGUGAGUAACGCGUAGCUAACCUACCUUCGGGCGGGAGAUAGCAACGGGAAACCGUUGUUAAUAUCCCAUAAGGUGGGAGAACUCAAGUUCUCUCAUCAAAGUGGCUUCGGCUACACCUGAAGAUGGGGCUGCGUCCUAUUAGCUAGACGGUGAGGUAAAGGCUCACCGUGGCCAAGAUAGGUAGGGGGCCUGAGAGGGCGAUCCCCCUCACUGGGACUGAGACACGGCCCAGACUCCUACGGGAGGCUGCAGUGGGGAAUCUUGCGCAAUGGUCGAAAGGCUGACGCAGCGACGCCGCGUGGAGGACGAAGGCCUUCGGGUUGUAAACUCCUUUUCUGGAGGACGAAUAAGGCCAGCAGGUAAUGGUUGGCCGAUGACGGUACUUCAGGAACAAGCGCCGGCUAACUUCGUGCCAGCAGCCGCGGUAAGACGAAGGGCGCAAGCGUUAUCCGGAAUUACUGGGCGUAAAGGGCGUCUAGGCGGCCAGUCAAGUCGACGUUGAAAUUCCUCGGCUAAACUGAGGGAGGUACGUCGAAACUGACCGGCUAGAGGGACGUAGAGGUAAGCGGAACUCUCGGAGUAGCGGUGAAAUGCGUAGAGACCGAGAGGUACCCCGAUGGUGAAGACAGCUUACUGGGCGUCUCCUGACGCUGAAGCGCUAAGGCCAGGGGAGCAAAGGGGAUUAGAUACCCCCGUAGUCCUGGCUUCAAACGAUGUGGGCUUGGUGUCGGCCCCCUAUAGAGGGUCGUUGCCGGAGUUAACGCGUUAAGCCCACCGCCUGGGGAUUACGUCCGCAAGGAUGAAACUCAAGGGAAUUGACGGGGGCCCACACAACCGGUGGAACACGUGGUUUAAUUCGAUGAUAAGCGAAGAACCUUACCAGGGCUUGACCUAGCGGUAGUAGGACCCCGAAAGGGGAACGACCUCAAGCUUUGCUUGAGGAACCGUGGCAGGUAUUGCAUGGCUGUCCUCAGCUC
RNAcentral lists this ribosomal RNA (1093 nucleotides) under uncultured KB1 group bacterium. Its description in RNAcentral is "bacterial SSU rRNA". It matches the Rfam family "Bacterial small subunit ribosomal RNA", at positions 9 to 1061 of the family's 1533-position model. The record is from RNAcentral. Lineage: Bacteria; Candidatus Calescibacteriota.